RNAcentral lists this ribosomal RNA (762 nucleotides) under uncultured marine stramenopile. RNAcentral describes it as "SSU rRNA". It matches the Rfam family "Eukaryotic small subunit ribosomal RNA", at positions 428 to 1191 of the family's 1831-position model. The record is from RNAcentral.
GCAGGCGCGUAAAUUACCCAAUCCUGAUACGGGGAGGUAGUGACAAUAAAUAACAAUACGGGGCCCAUCGGGUCUUGUAAUUGGAAUGAGUACAAUUUAAAUCCCUUAACGAGGAUCAAUUGGAGGGCAAGUCUGGUGCCAGCAGCCGCGGUAAUUCCAGCUCCAAUAGCGUAUAUUAAAGUUGUUGCAGUUAAAAAGCUCGUAGUUGGAUUUCUGGUAGGAGUGACCGUGCCGAACUUGAUUGUUCGUGUAUUGAGUCGCCUCCAGCCAUCCUCGUGAAGAACUUUUCUAGCAUUAACUUGUUGGGAUUGGGACUCGCGUCGUUUACUGUGAAAAAAUUAGAGUGUUUAAAGCAGGCAAUCGCUUGAAUACAUUAGCAUGGAAUAAUAAGAUAGGACUUUGGUACUAUUUUGUUGGUUUGCAUACCAAAUUAAUGAUCAACAGGAACAGUUUGAGGAUAUUCGUAUGAACAUGUCAGAGGUGAAAUUCUUGGAUUUUGAUCAGACGAACUACUGCGAAAGCAUUUAUCAAGGAUGUUUUCAUUAAUCAAGAACGAAAGUUAGGGGAUCGAAGAUGAUUAGAUACCAUCGUAGUCUUAACCAUAAACUAUGCCGACUAGGGAUUGGCGGACGUUGUCUUUAUGACUCCGCCAGCACCUCAUGAGAAAUCAAAGUCUUUGGGUUCCGGGGGGGAGUAUGGUCGCAAGGCUGAAACUUAAAGGAAUUGACGGAAGGGCACCACCAGGAGUGGAGCCUGCGGCUU